RNAcentral lists this ribosomal RNA (253 nucleotides) under uncultured bacterium. Its description in RNAcentral is "partial 16S ribosomal RNA". It matches the Rfam family "Bacterial small subunit ribosomal RNA", at positions 524 to 776 of the family's 1533-position model. The record is from RNAcentral.
UACGUAGGGCGCAAGCGUUAUCCGGAAUUAUUGGGCGUAAAGAGCUCGUAGGCGGUUUGUCGCGUCUGCUGUGAAAGACCGGGGCUCAACUCCGGUUCUGCAGUGGGUACGGGCAGACUAGAGUGCAGUAGGGGAGACUGGAAUUCCUGGUGUAGCGGUGAAAUGCGCAGAUAUCAGGAGGAACACCGAUGGCGAAGGCAGGUCUCUGGGCUGUAACUGACGCUGAGGAGCGAAAGCAUGGGGAGCGAACGGG